CGAGCUGCAGAGUCGGCCCUCACUGUUUUUGCAAAACCAUCUACCAUUCUUCCAUAGCUAUCUCGCAUAACAGCAGCUACUGCCCCUGACGUUGAACCUUCAGUAAAGGAAGCAUCAAUAUUGAUCUUCAGGACUCCUUGUUGCGGAUUUCGCCAAAUUUGAGUCUUCGGAAUAUGAAAUUGUUCCUUGAUUUCCAAAUAAGCCAAAGGACAGUCGCAAGUAGCUCAAAAGUGAAGGAUUGGACCAGACUUGUUUCGUCCAUGGACAGAGGAGAAAAAGAUGCUCAAUAGUUUCGGGAUGUUGGUGACAUAGCUCACACAUCGGUUCUGACGCAAAACAGUAUUGAUUCAAAACAGCUGCAACAUUCUGGCAUUCCAUAAUCGUUCCAUCGAGGAAAAAGAUUGAGUCGUCUGCAAACAAGAGGUGAGAUAGCGUGGGGCAGAAUCUAUUCAGCUUGAUCCCCAUUAUACUUCCAUCCUCCAUUGCCUUUUUCAUCAAAAAAGAUAAUACAUUACCCACCAAGAUGAACAAAUAGGGGGAGAGGGGAUCACCUUGUCUAAUUCCUCUUGUUGGUUGAAAGUAGGGUAGAGGCUCUCCAUUUAGCUUGACACUAAAGGACACAGUAGAGACACAUUGCAUAAUCCACUUCACCCAUUGAUCACUAAAACCCAUCUUCCCCAUGCAAGCUUCCAAAAAAUCCCAUUCAACUCUGUCAUAAGCUUUUUGCAUAUCAAGUUUAAGCACUGCUUGAAACUUUGUUUUUCUCUUUCUGAUUCUCAACUGAUGUAGCACCUCUUGGACAAUUAAGAUGUUAUCCUGAAUUUGUCUUCCACUCACGAAGGCACUUUGCUCAAUAGAAAUUAAGUUUGGCAAG
Molecule: long non-coding RNA, 874 nt
Organism: Syzygium oleosum
Lineage: Eukaryota; Viridiplantae; Streptophyta; Magnoliopsida; Myrtales; Myrtaceae
Exons: 4
Source: RefSeq, a predicted model, not a curated record